This 24-nucleotide non-coding RNA is filed under the name Arabidopsis thaliana (thale cress). The record is from RNAcentral. Lineage: Eukaryota; Viridiplantae; Streptophyta; Magnoliopsida; Brassicales; Brassicaceae.
UUUUUGUUGACCUUGGUGAAUAUG